UAGUGGGGCGCUAUCCUCCUAAAGAGUAACGGAGGAGUUUAUUAAGGUCAGCUAGGCGCGAAUGGAAACCGUGCCGAUAGUGUAAUGGCAUAAGCUGGCUUAACUGUGAGACGUACUUGUCAAACAGAUGCGAAAGCAGAACAUAGUGAACCGACGGUCCGUUUUAGAGGCGGCCGGAGAUUAUCGGAUAAAAGCUACCCUGGGGAUAACAGGCUGGUUGCGCCUAAGCGUCCAUAGCGACGGCGCAGUUCGGCACCUCGAUGUCGGCUCAACUUAUCCUGGAGGUGNNUUUGGCACCUCGAUGUCGGCUCAUCACAUCCUGGGGGUGGAGAAGCUCCCAAGGGUAUGGCUGUUCGCCAUUUAAAAAGAUACGCGAGCUGGGUUCAGACCGU
Molecule: ribosomal RNA, 392 nt
Filed under: Candidatus Zambryskiibacteriota bacterium
Lineage: Bacteria; Candidatus Zambryskiibacteriota
Description: bacterial LSU rRNA
Rfam family: Bacterial large subunit ribosomal RNA
Source: RNAcentral